AGGAAUUUUGUGAAUUAUUGUUAGGCUUAGGGCUUGUUUGGAUACCUCAUGUUAAAGUUUAACAAGUGUUAAAAUUUUAACACUUUCAAAUGGAGUGCUAAAGUUUAACACAUUGGGGUGUUUGGAUGGUGUGUUAAACUUUAACACCUUUGAUGAGAAAUGACUCUAUUGCCCCCUCAUUUAUGGCCGGCGGAGAGAGAGGGAGGAGAGAGAAGGGGGCAAUGGUGGGAAAAAGUGAAGAGGGGGACCACUUUUAACAAGUUUAACAACUUUUAACACCCCCUUGAGGUGUUUAUGAAAUUGGGGGUGUUAAACUUUAACACAUCCCUUUUAACACAUGUGUUUGGGAGGCAAUGUGAUAAAAAGGUAUUAAAAGUGGGGUGUUAAACUUUAACACUCCCUAUCCAAACAGGGCCUUAUUGUUGUCCUAAUCAUGUCACUCUUAGGGUUUUGUAAUUUAUUGUUAGUUUUAUUAUGUGGAAGCGACUUAUUUAGCAACAUAAUAAAUCCUAUCUCUUUUGAGAUAUACACCAUUCUAGCAACAUAAAUCAUGUUUCUUUUGUAAAGUUUGUCGAUUAUAUAUCCUUUGGUUUAUUUUGCCUUAUCAUGGUGUGAAUUAUGUCGCUAUUAUGGAGUCCAACCAUCAUAGCAAUGAAAUUCUCUCACUUUUGAGAACUGUUCUAGAUUACCAUUAAGAAAUUCUUU
This 705-nucleotide long non-coding RNA is filed under the name Setaria viridis. RNAcentral's name for it is "long non-coding RNA (SVIR_LNC006551)". The record is from RNAcentral. Lineage: Eukaryota; Viridiplantae; Streptophyta; Magnoliopsida; Poales; Poaceae.